RNAcentral lists this long non-coding RNA (206 nucleotides) under Panax ginseng (ginseng). Its description in RNAcentral is "long non-coding RNA (PGIN_LNC006290)". Lineage: Eukaryota; Viridiplantae; Streptophyta; Magnoliopsida; Apiales; Araliaceae. The record is from RNAcentral.
GCCCGACCUCGAACUCCACACGACAGGGUAACGUAUCCGGCCCAAAGGACUUGGACAUCGAAUCCGAAAAGUAUCCCCUAAGGUGAGGCUCCGGUCUAAAAGAACUCGGACGCCGACCUGAUCAACUCCAAUCUCUUUAUGAGCUUCAGCCCAAUAAUCUCCCAAAACCCUUUUAAUAUUAGGUGUUCGACUUAUAUGAAGUUCGG